Molecule: ribosomal RNA, 253 nt
Filed under: uncultured bacterium
Lineage: Bacteria
Description: partial 16S ribosomal RNA
Rfam family: Bacterial small subunit ribosomal RNA
Source: RNAcentral
UACAGAGGUCUCAAGCGUUGUUCGGAUUCACUGGGCGUAAAGGGUGCGUAGGUGGCGAAGUAAGUCGGAUGUGAAAUCUCCGAGCUCAACUCGGAAAUGGCAUUGGAAACUACUUUGCUCGAGGGUCGGAGGGGGGACUGGAAUUCUCGGUGUAGCAGUGAAAUGCGUAGAUAUCGAGAGGAACACCAGUGGCGAAGGCGAGUCCCUGGACGACUCCUGACACUGAGGCACGAAAGCUAGGGGAGCAAACAGG